CUAUCUAGAUCUACUCUAGUUUAGAGAAGAGAGGAGAGCUCUCAUCUCUAAACCCUAGCUUUUGCUCUGUCUAUGAAUAAUGAAUAAUGAUCAAGGGGUGCCUCCUCCAGGGGCCAGGGGGUCUGGUUUUAUAGUCCCCUCAAGUGAACCUGGGCCGUCGGAUCAAACCGACAUUGAUUGAACGGUUAUUCUUGAUCCUUUAGGUCGGUGGAGCAUAAUCCGCGAGAUUGAGCGUGAUUGGCUGAAAAAGGUGGGUGGGCGCCCUGUCCAUGACUCCGUUCGGUCUCCGCUUCCUUCCCGUGGCUUCUGGAGUCUUCUAGAUAUAAGAUAAUUGCGCGGCACGUUGAUAUCUCUAUGUAAUCCCGACGUGUGGGCCUUUCUUCCUUAUUUCCUGAUAACCCCCUGCAGAAAUAGACAAACACCAAAACUCGUGGAAUUCUGUCAGAUAAAACCCUAAGUCUUGAUGUUGAUUUCAUUUGGAUCCUUUUCUUUGUUUAUUUGAUAGUUAAAUUUGAUACUUAAGGACCGUCAACAAACUCCCCCAAGCUUACCUCUUGCUCGUCCCUGAGCAAGGAUAGACUCAGCUAUGGAUCAUAAGUUGUUGCAAUAUCUUUAAAAAUUGACGGUACACAUGAUUUUAAAUGAGGUCUCAUCUCUGAGUUAGAGUAAACUGUCAAGACUUAAAACUUACUUACUUUACCUUUCACCAUGGGACUUGUAACCGUCACUUCUGUCUUGAGUGGUUAAAAGAUAGAAUAGUCCCGUCAAGUGCCAUGUCUCUUAUUCUUCAUCAGCUAUAGCUCUGGAGUUUUUGCAGAUUUUCAAAUAAAACUCAGAGAUUCCUUUGUAUGACUCUCUCAUAUCUCUCUUUUGUGGUAUUUCUGGAUCCUUACCAAGGCAGUGAUGGUAUAUGCCUUCUCUCAAAAUAUGUGGUAUUUGUGGUAUAAGGGAUAGUGACAUUGUCUUCUCUCUCACCCUACUCUAAUAAGGCUUUAAUAUCUGGAGCUCAUAGGUGGGAGAUAAAAUAUACAUACUUACAAGAUAUUUAUUGUAUAGUCAAACCAUGGAUCCAAAGAAACAAAUCAAUAAGCCAAAUAAAGAUGUGCAUGUGUGGCGAAUGAAUAGUGUAUGGUGAUGAUGGUGAUAACAAUGGUGAAAGUCUAAUUCUACUUUUGCUCUUUUGAGGGGAUACAUACCUUUCUUGCUUUUUGAAACUUUAUGAGGAGAAUGAGAUGCUCUACUUUUUAUUUUCUCUCAGAUGGGUAUCCUGUACCCCUAAUUCUACUGUCGGACACUUGUCCAUUUUUACCUCUCGUCUCACUCUUUUUCUUUUCUUUCGAGGUUCCUAGCACUUGCCCCUUUUUAUUUCCUUGUUUAUUAUUAUUUUUUUUCCUUUUCUUCUCUUUUCUUUUUUUUCAGAGCACUCAUCUCCUGAAAUAAUGUAGCAAGUGGUAGUAACCAAAAUAACUGGAGCAUUUAUUUCACAGGGAAUAACAGGGAUAGGAAAAUGUUUUUGGCUAUUCUCUCCUGGAUUAGAAGUAGAAUGAUUUUGGGUGAAACUGGAGAUGGAAAUGGAUGCAUAUAUGUGGAUGGUACUUCCGGAGUAGAAGUAGCAUAUAUGAGUGAACGUGCAAGUGAAUCUUAAUUUAACCACAUGACAAGCUCCUAAGGGUCUACACAGCUUGACCACACUCAAUGCUCAUAAGCAGUAAAUAAUAAAUGUGUGGCUCAAAGUCUAGCAAGCAUGUAUAUAUGGUUGUGGUAGGAAUUUAAACUCUCAUCAUACAGGAACUCAUCAUGCAACAUUUUAAAGAUUUUUCAAAGAUAAAAUUCUCCAGAAUUCUAGCAUUUCUAGGAACAGAUAAACAGCAGCUCAACCUUCCCAUAUCUUAUCCGUUAACAACUUAGAUUUUAGAUCAAGUUUUCAUCCCACAAGUUUAGAUCUAGAGCAAGCUUUAAAUUAUAACAGUUAUGUCUAAACUUGAGAGAGAACUUUAAAUUUGCAAAUUAGGUAGAGCAACUAUUCAUCAUAUCCAUGCUAGAGUUUUAUUAUUAAGAUUCAUAGCAAACUUUAUUUAUUUAUUUAUUUAGCAAACUAAGAAAAGAUAUAUAUAUAUAUAUAUAAGCAUAAAAUCUUUAUUUGGUUUUUCAUAGUUUAUGUAUUUUAAUAUUCUAAUAUAAUAUAAGUAUAAAGAUAGGUAGAAAUACUUAGCGAGAUAAAUAGGGGUGCUCUCCCCCAAGCUGAAUUUUGACGUAAUUUCUCUUGAUGUAGCUAGCAGGUGGCAGAGGUGUAUUUGAAAGUCAGCAGUAUUCUGACAGCGAUUAGAAUGUCCUCCGUCUGCUAGUCUUCUUGAUUCUUAAAUUCUGUGGAGCUCAAAUAGACAACAAAGCUUCUGGAACUAAUUAAGUGUUAGCAUAAAUAUCUAGCCUUCAUCACGUUGAGCUUCCUCAAUAAAUAUUACUCCCUGUUUUUAUAUUUUUAUUUUAUAAAGUAGAAAAGAAAAUAUUUAUUUUAUUUUUAUGCCACCACAGUGAAGGUACUUAUGGGUUUUAUGCCACUCGUAUACUCACAUGGGGCUUAGUAUUUUUUAACAUUUUUAUUUUCUUUUCAAGAUAGCAUGAUUAACUAAAAAUCUAUUUAAGGAAAGUAAAUAAUUAAAGGGAAAAGGGAAUGCAGAAAGGAUAAAUAUGGAUAACUACCAAUCUUACCUUUCGGCGAGGGUUCAAUGUUUUAAGUCUUCUUGACAAGACAUCUCAACGUGUUCAUUCUUCAGGUGCGUCAUUUGAUUCAGGUGCGGACCUUGACGUCUGCACCUUUUAAUACGGUGUCACCCAUGUUCUUCGUUUGCCCAGCAGUUCGAAGUACGGUGUUAGCAGUAUCUUGCUCAGUGUGUUUGUGCUCGUAGUGUACCUGCUCAUAGAGACAAGGCGGAGAUCAAGUGCAUGGGCCCUGUUGGUGGAAAACACCAACAGAACCAAAAGUGUAUUUGUUCUUCUCUAACCUUAAGCAUAGUGAGCAAGACAAAGUUGAUGGAUGAUAAGUUCAUGAGUGUAGCACUUAUAACAUUUGUCAGAUCAGAUCGCUCAACCUUAUGGAAAGAUAAUCUAUUUAUGUAUAUGUAUUUUUCUUUAUAUCUCUCAAUGAUUGAAUGUGUAACAUUUUAGCUCAUAUGAUUAGGAGUGUGGGAUCAUGGAGGUAGUACUAAGAACAAGGAUUAAAGGAUUAAACAUGUUUAAUCAGUUGGGUUGGUUAAUCUAGAGUUGUAAAUCAUACACAUUUGUCUCUUUUAUUUAUAUGAACGCCAGAACCAAGGAGAAACUUAUAAAAGUGAUAGUCUAAGUACCUCAAGAUGUUACCUUGCUUGAAGAGUGAUGGUACAGUAUCAUCUUGUGGAAGCUUUCCUUUCUUAGCGGUUGUGCAUCGUGUUUGUGGCACCCUCCAUGGAUCCUCUCUCUAUGAUGAAUGAGCUAUGUCCUUCUUGUGCAAAUUGUUAAACUUUAUGUGUCACUCUCUUCGUCUCUGAUGUGAGUUUAUCUCAGGACUUCCCAAAUCGAUAUUGAAAGUUUUUCUGCAGGGGUUAGUCCGACAAAAUAUACCAAUAUCUACUCAAGCAGUUUUUUUUAGUUCAAUAACCAAACUAGACUCCAUGUCUAAUCAGAUUAAGGAAGGAUAUUUAACCUAAGCACCAUGCUUAAUUUAAAUGCCAAUGGAAGUAUGGCGAGUACUUCCAAACCAACACUUGCUAGUAAAUAGACAAAGGUAGCAUGAUAGCAUUUAUAGAGAUCUACUCAAGUGGAGAUGAAGUAGUGUAAUUAGUAUUUAACAAAUUGAGCAUGUCUCAAAGGUAGGGACAACCAGCAUAGCAACAUGGCAAAGGAUGUUUUUAUGUAAAGUACUCCCCCAAGCUUGAAUUUUGCAAAAUUCAAGUUUGGAUGAAUUUAAUUCAAUGUCGUAUGAUGAUUGGUUGGACAUACCUUGUGCUUGUCAUUCAUCCGAUCUUCUUGCGCCAAUCCUAGAAAGUUAAGUGACAAGAAUACCCGAAGGAAUAUUUUUUUACAAUUAUCCUUAUAUGCUCAAUACACAAGGUAAUGUUGCAAAUAAUUAAAAGCUCAUGUUACGAUCUGAUCAAUGCUUAUUUUAAGACACUAAGCUUGUCCUUGGGAAACCAUCAGUUUAUGUUGGCGAAGUGGUUUCCCCUCCGACGCCAACCUAUAUCUAGAUCAACUCAACGAGAUCUGCAAUAUUUAUUAUAGACAUAUGCAUCGACAACCGCCCUUUUAAAGUUUUUAUAAAUAGAAAGAAAGAGGGGGUUGGAGAUCUCAAGUGUGGUGAUGUCAGAGAGACCAAUAGAUUGGGAAGAUGUUGCAUAUGAGCAUGGAGUAAACAAAGUGGCUAUGAAAUAAAUUCCAUGCUCAUUAAUGUUAUCUUCAUCUCCAAUCUGAAUGUUCAAAGUUUCUCUUGGAUUGGUCUCACUUAUGUCCUCUUCUAUAGUUGGAUGAAUCUCAUCUUCAAAGGGAGUCAAGAACUCACCAUUUGAAAUUGAGCCAAAGUCAGAAUCCAUUAAGGCUUCUUCCUUAUCCAUCCAUUCUACACAUUCUAGCCAUUUAGAACUUGUGAUCAAAAUAGGGGAGGUGUUAGAAUUUUCUAUAUGGCUUAGCUCUCCUUCUAUGGCAUUACUUGACAUGCCAUCCUUAUGGUCUUCAUGACUCCUAUGGUUUGGUCGUCUUGGUGAAUUGCUAGGAUCAUCAUGAGACUGAAAAGAAGAGGGAUAAGAGGGAUCUCUAAGGUCAAGGAUGGAUUUAGAACUUGUGAACAUGGAAGGGGAGUAGAUAGAAUUGUCUAUAUGGCUUAGCUCUCCUUCACUUGAUAUGUCAUCCUCGACUUCUUCAUGAUAGGAACCAGGACAUUCUCUAAGAGAAACAUUACUGCAAUGAUUUGAAUUAUCCCUGCUUGAAGGUUUCUUAUAGAACCAGAAGUCUAAACCAUUAGCAUCUAAAAGAUUUAAGGUCGGAAUUCCUUCCUCCCUUGGAGAAUUUUGGGGUAUUGAUGGUUUAGGAUCGAUAGCUAAAGUUUGGGAUUGAAGUGGUUGUGAUCUGGCUAUCGAAACUUCUUCCUCUUGUCUAGGAACUGGUUCUUUCUCUUUCUCAGGGAUAUAAAAGCUAGGAGACUUUCCGCUCAUUAAAUCAAUCAAAUUCCAAGCUUCACUAGCGGAUAGGUGGUGGAAAGAUCCUCCAGAGGCCGCAUGAAGGGUUUGCUUAUUUUUCCUACUAAGGCCCUCAAAAAAGUGAAUUAGAAGAACUUCUUCUGGAAUAGAAAGUUUUGGGCCAGUGAGAGUAAGGUUAAUAAAGCGGUCCCAUGAUUUGCCAAGAGAUUCUUCUUCCAGUUGUCUAAAAGAAAGAAUCUCACGCCGAAGUUCCACCACUUUGGAGAUUGGAAAAUAUUUAGAAAGAAAACUACUAUAUAACUCCUUCCAAUCUCCAAGAACACUCCCUACUUUGAGUUUAUACCAAUGUCUAGCUUUUCCUGUUAAAGAGAACGGAAAGAGCUUCCAUUUAAGGGUCUCAUCAGACAUGCCUUCUAUGCGAAGGAGGUCACAGACUCGAUAAAACUCUCUUAGGUGUGUGUAUGGGUUUUCCUCACCUUCUCCUGAGAAAGGUUGUUUUUGAAUAAAUUCUAUGUAUUCGGGGUCUAUCUCAAAACUAGAUGCUAUGAUAGGCUUUGAAGAUUUUGGUGGUUCGAGAUGUGUGCCCAUAGGUCUAUGAAAUUCAUAGAUAGACAUGUUUGAAUUCAUAAUAGACCAGAGAUCAAGGAUUAGAUAAGAAGAAAGAAUAGCAGAGAUGAGGCAAAGGAUAAAAGGAAAAUAUUUUUUUUGUUAUAUAUUUUUUUUUAUAAAAUGAUUAAACUAGUUCGUAGUCAACUCAGCAACCGUUUCCCCGGCAACGGCGCCAAAAAUGCUUGUUGACACUUGCUAACACCACUUGAAUACUAGGUUGUCAUCCCCAGCAUGGCACUAGAGUGUACUAUGGUAUUUAUACGCACACAGAUAAUCCGCAAGCGCACGGAUACCGUUGAAGCUUUUACCCGGUUAAAGGUUUUAUCAUAUCCGCAGGGAAACAGGAGAACCAACUACGCUCUAACUUAACCAAGAUAGAUAGAUAGGUGUAAAUAGGAAAGAUGAUAGAAUUGAAUAAGAACAAUAUUAAAGGUAAGAUAACAGUGAGUGAUAAUAUAGGAAUAGAGAAUAGAGUAAUUCUAGUAUAUGGGCGAUGGUAGCAGAAUAGAGAGGAUAACCAUGGUUUCUCUUCUUCAAAGGGGUAUGUCUAUGUCUGGGACGAACCCCGUGAUAAGAGUACACCACAAAGGAUGCUUAUCCAUAGGCCGAUAAACCCUACCCGUCCUGCUAACGAGAGGUCGACUACAGGGGACCAACGUAACUGUCACCUACGCGGCCUACCACACGAUCCAGCUAGUCAGGGGAUAUCCACAAGUAAUCUAGGUCUAAGCACCACGCUUACACCUAUACUACAACUCUAACCUAUAGGGUCCUAUAGAUUAGAAGUACUCAAAAGAGUUGUGAACCAGAACAUACAUGAUUAGGAAUUGCAUAAUGAAUUAGAAGUAGAUUACCAGAGUCAUCCCAUGAGCAAGCUUGAUUAGAGCUUGAUCAUGGCGAAGUACAACCGGAGGAAGAACCGACAGGCUGGCCUCUCCUCUAAUCCUCCUUCGCUCUCCAUCUCGCUACUAUCUAGAUCUACUCUAGUUUAGAGAAGAGAGGAGAGCUCUCAUCUCUAAACCCUAGCUUUUGCUCUAUCUAUGAAUAAUGAAUAAUGAUCAAGGGGUGCCUCCUCCAGGGGCCAGGGGGUCUGGUUUUAUAGUCCCCUCAAGUGAACCUGGGCCGUCGGAUCAAACCGACAUUGAUUGAACGGUUAUUCUUGAUCCUUUAGAUCGGUGGAGCAUAAUCCGCGAGAUUGAGCGUGAUUGGCUGAAAAAGGUGGGCGGGCGCCCUAAGGACUUGGGCGGGCGCCCUAUCCCUGACUCCGUUCGGUCUCCGCUUCCUUCCCGUGGCUUCUGGAGUCUUCUAGAUGUAAGAUAAUUGCGCGGCACGUUGAUAUCUCUAUGUAAUCCCGACGUGUGGGCCUUUCUUCCUUAUUUCCUGAUAACCCCCUGCAGAAAUAGACAAACACCAAAACUCGUGGAAUUCUGUCAGAUAAAACCCUAAGUCUUGAUGUUGAUUUCAUUUGGAUCCUUUUCUUUGUUUAUUUGAUAGUUAAAUUUGAUACUUAAGGACCGUCAACACAGGCCACAAGAGUGAACGACUAUGUCAACAGGAAGCUUGGGGGAGGCACCCGCACGUGUAUCUAGAUAAGUAUUACUUUUCUUUCAUGGUUUUAUUUACUAGUAUUCGGAAAUAAAUAAAAAAAUGCAUAACCAUGAAACCAAACAAAGUUUUUCUUUUGAGUAAUAUACAAUAGUUUUGUAUAACCCUAAGUUUUAAAUAAAAUAAAAAGAAAGUUUGAUCCAAGUCUAGGUAAUUGACGAACAUGAUAUGAGAAGGUCUGAGCUACUAUUUAACUUGUUCCAAGUUUCGCUAGAGUUCUGGAGAUUUUAUCUUUUGAAAAUCUAAAAAUUCAAAAAAAAUGAUGAGAUCCUGUUUGACAUAAUACCUAGUCUUAUAAGAUAUAAAUAUUAAAACUGUGGGCACUUGCUUUGUUCAAGCCAUUGUUAAUUCUUGUAGUUUUGGUUGAGAGAAUUAUGAUGCUCCAAAGAUCAAGAUCUUUUUGUUUUAAAAAUAUAAAAGAUUCACUCUUUCGAAGUAUUAUUGCAUUAGAGGCAUGGGACUAUGCAAAAAUUUGAUUCAAAAAAAAAGAAGAGUGAGACAAGAGGUAAAAAUAGACAAGUGUCCGAAGUAGAAUUAGGGGUACAAAGAUACCCACCUGAGUGGAAAAAAUGGACACGUGUCCGAUAGUAGAAUUAGGGGUACUUGGUGCCCACUUGAAAAAAAGAGAGAGACUGAAAAAAAAGAAAGAAAAAAAUGAUAGCCCAUGGUCCCUCUAAUAAGCAAUAUACCAGUAAGAGAUGACAAACUUUUCAAAAAGGUCAAAGGUCUUAAUCUAGGAGUAUGACAUUCCUCUCCCUUGCUCUAAGCAUUGACAUAGCAAAAUGCAAAGUAAGUAUGCUAAAACUUUUAAAGCUCUACUUAUAUAUCUUUCGAGAAGAAGGCAAAUGCCUCAGUUUUAUUUUGGAAGCUUACAAAAAAAACUCCAGAACAAAGGUAAGACAGAAGAACUUGAGACAUAGUGCUUGACUUGAUCGUUCUGUUUUUCAAUCACUUAAGACCUUAGUGAUAACUUAAAAAAACCUUGUAGUAAGAGGCAUAAAAGUAACCCCUGUUUUCUUGCUGAUUUUAGCUUUGCUCAGGGAUGAGCAAAGGUUAAGCUUGGGGGAGCUUGUUGACGGUUGUUGACGGUUCUUAAGUAUCAAAGUUAAUUAUUAAAUAAACAAGGGAAAGGACCAAUAUACAAACAACACCUAGAAUUAGGGUUUGAUCUGACAGAAUUCCAUGAGUUUUGUUGUUUAUCUGUUUCUGCAGGGGGUUAUCAAGAAAUAAGGAAGAAAGGCCCACAUGUCGGGAUUACAUAGAGAUAUUAACGCACCGUGCAAUUUUCUACCAUCUAGAAGACUCCAGAAGCCACGGCAACGAACGGGAAGGCGAUCGGGCCCAGGGGCAGGGCGCCCACCCUCCCCCCCUAGGGCGUCCGCCCUGGUGUCUCCACCAAUCAGAGCCAACUUCACGGAUCAUGCUCCACCGACCUAAAGGAUCAAGGAUAACCGUUCAAUCAAUGUUGGUUUGAUCCGACGGCCCACGUUCACCUGAGGGGACUAUAUAAGCAGACCUCCUAGCCCUUGGAGGAGAACAAGUUCAUCAUAGAGUUGAGAGGUUCCCUCGAAGGAUAACCUUUCCUCUAAAUAGACUUAGGGCUUAGCAUCCAAUGUGAGAGUAGAAUUAGUUCUUCUAAGUUCUACUAGAUUGAGAAAGAGG
This 9041-nucleotide long non-coding RNA is filed under the name Sorghum bicolor (sorghum). RNAcentral's name for it is "long non-coding RNA (SBIC_LNC008159)". The record is from RNAcentral. Lineage: Eukaryota; Viridiplantae; Streptophyta; Magnoliopsida; Poales; Poaceae.